This 434-nucleotide ribosomal RNA is filed under the name uncultured bacterium. RNAcentral describes it as "partial 16S ribosomal RNA". It matches the Rfam family "Bacterial small subunit ribosomal RNA", at positions 29 to 507 of the family's 1533-position model. The record is from RNAcentral.
AGCGAACGCUGGCGGCAGGCCUAACACAUGCAAGUCGAACGAACCUUUCGGGGUUAGUGGCGGAAGGGUGAGUAACACGUGGGAACGUGCCUUUAGGUUCGGAAUAACUCAGGGAAACUUGUGCUAAUACCGAAUGUGCCCUUCGGGGGAAAGAUUAAUCGCCUUUAGAGCGGCCCGCGUCUGAUUAGCUAGUUGGUUGAGGUAAUGGCUCACCAAGGCGACGAUCAGUAGCUGGUCUGAGAGGAUGAUCAGCCACAUUGGGACUGAGACACGGCCCAAACUCCUACGGGAGGCAGCAGUGGGGAAUCUUGCGCAAUGGGCGAAAGCCUGACGCAGCCAUGCCGCGUGAAAGAUGAAGGUCUUAGGAUUGUAAAAUUCUUUCACCGGGGACGAUAAUGACGGUACCCGGAGAAGAAGCCCCGGCUAACUUCGUG